CAAACCUCAAGCCUUGCUUGGUGAUGGGUCCCGCCCGCGUGGCGGGCCCGAAACUCGUGGGCGCCCCAGGCCGGACUCCAAGCGUAGCAAAACCCUCGCUUGCGGACGACUGGUCGGAGGCCGCCCCGGACCCCAAAUUUUAUCAAU
Molecule: unclassified non-coding RNA, 147 nt
Filed under: uncultured Venturiaceae
Lineage: Eukaryota; Fungi; Ascomycota; Dothideomycetes; Venturiales; Venturiaceae
Description: sequence contains ITS2
Source: RNAcentral